RNAcentral lists this ribosomal RNA (253 nucleotides) under uncultured bacterium. Its description in RNAcentral is "partial 16S ribosomal RNA". It matches the Rfam family "Bacterial small subunit ribosomal RNA", at positions 524 to 776 of the family's 1533-position model. The record is from RNAcentral.
UACAGAGGGUGCAAGCGUUGUUCGGAAUUAUUGGGCGUAAAGGGCGCGUAGGCGGCUUGAUAAGUCAGAUGUGAAAACCCUGGGCUUAACCCAGGACGUGCAUUUGAAACUGUCAGGCUAGAGUGCAGUAGAGGUUGGUAGAAUUCCCAGUGUAGAGGUGAAAUUCGUAGAUAUUGGGAGGAAUACCGAUGGCGAAGGCAGCCAACUGGGCUGCAACUGACGCUGAGGCGCGAAAGCGUGGGGAGCAAACAGG